AAAUUUCAUGGGUUUAACAACAACAUUUUCAUCAUUCACACAAUUCAAUCAAAUUUCAUGGGUUUAACGACAACAUCUUCAUCAUUCACACAAUUCAAUCAAACUUCAUAGGUUUAACAAUAACAUUUCAUCCUUCACACAAUUCAAUAAAAUUUCAUGGGUUUAACCUAAACAUUUUCAUCAUUCACAUAAUUCAAUCAAAUUUCAUGGGUUUGACAACAACAUUUUCGUCACUCACACAAUUCAAUCAAAUUUCACAGGGUUAACUACAACAUUUUCAUCAUUCGCACAAUUCAAUCAAAUUUCAUGGGUUUAACAUCAACAUUUUCAUUGUUCACACAAUUCAAUCAAUUUUCAUGGGUUUAACA
Molecule: long non-coding RNA, 368 nt
Filed under: Lathyrus oleraceus (garden pea)
Lineage: Eukaryota; Viridiplantae; Streptophyta; Magnoliopsida; Fabales; Fabaceae
Description: Pisum sativum (pea) long non-coding RNA (PSAT_LNC020196)
Source: RNAcentral